GGUGAGUAACGCGUAAGGAACUUGCCUCUUGGACUGGGACAACUGUUGGAAACGACAGCUAAUACCGGAUAUUAUGAGAUUCUCGCAUGAGAAACUUAUGAAAGCUAUAUGCGCCAAGAGAGAGCCUUGCGUUCCAUUAGCUAGUUGGUGGGGUAACGGCCCACCAAGGCGACGAUGGAUAGCCGGCCUGAGAGGGUGAACGGCCACAAGGGGACUGAGACACGGCCCUUACUCCUACGGGAGGCAGCAGUGGGGAAUAUUGGACAAUGGGCCACAAGCCUGAUCCAGCAAUUCUGUGUGCACAAUGAAGGUCUUCGGAUUGUAAAGUGCUUUCAGUUGGGAAGAAGAAAGUGACGGUACCAACAGAAGAAGCGACGGCUAAAUACGUGCCAGCAGCCGCGGUAAUACGUAUGUCGCAAGCGUUAUCCGGAUUUAUUGGGCGUAAAGCGCGUCUAGGCGGAAAAAUAAGUCUGAUGUUAAAAUGCGGGGCUCAACUCCGUAUUGCGUUGGAAACUGUUUUUCUAGAGUACUGGAGAGGUGGGCGGAACUACAAGUGUAGAGGUGAAAUUCGUAGAUAUUUGUAGGAAUGCCGAUGGAGAAGUCAGCUCACUGGACAGAUACUGACGCUGA
RNAcentral lists this ribosomal RNA (630 nucleotides) under uncultured bacterium. RNAcentral's name for it is "bacterial SSU rRNA". It matches the Rfam family "Bacterial small subunit ribosomal RNA", at positions 105 to 749 of the family's 1533-position model. The record is from RNAcentral.